GAUGAAGAACGUAGCGAAAUGCGAUAAGUAAUGUGAAUUGCAGAAUUCAGUGAAUCAUCGAAUCUUUGAACGCGCAUUGCGCCCGCCAGUAUUCUGGCGGGCAUGCCUGUUCGAGCGUCAUUUCAACCAUCAAGCCCCCGGGCUUGUGUUGGGGACCUGCGGCUGCCGCAGGCCCUGAAAAGCAGUGGCGGGCUCGCUGUCACACCGAGCGUAGUAGCAUACAUCUCGCUCUGGGCGUGCUGCGGGUUCCGGCCGUUAAACCACCUUUUAACCCAAGGUUGACCUCGGAUCAGGUAGGAAGACCCGCUGAACUUAAGCAUAUCAAUAAGCGGAGGA
Molecule: unclassified non-coding RNA, 336 nt
Filed under: soil metagenome
Description: partial contains 5.8S ribosomal RNA, internal transcribed spacer 2, and large subunit ribosomal RNA
Rfam family: 5.8S ribosomal RNA (bases 1-120)
Source: RNAcentral